UGGAAAAGACACCAGAUUCUAUUUGCUAUUAUCAUCACACAGUACAUCUGAUUGUGCACAUUACUUUUGAAUGAUGUACAGAAGCAUCCUAAUGCAUCCUUGGACACAGUUCUAAUGCUAGGCCUAUUGUACCCCAAAGGCCUUCUGGAUUUCAGCUAUGACUCGGUCUGCGACAUCGGGACCAAACAUCCUCGGCAAAUUUGAAGUCAGGUCAACCUCGAUUGACUUGGACCUUACAAUUUGGUCCCUCUUUAUCAUGUUUUCUCUCUCGCCUUCUUCCAUCUCUGAAGUAUGAUCAGCACAACUAUCAAGCCAAAUUUGAAGAAGUGCCCUAGCAGCUGUUGCUAGUUGACCACGCACUAUCUCUUCCAAGGUACCCUCUCCUCCUUGCCCACAGUCGAUGCUCAUCAGUAUUGCUGUCAGUGAGAAGGCGCUGCGCACGAAGAGGGAUCGCGAUCAGUAUGGACGGGCCUGCGGCAAUUCUUCGACCUUCUCACGCUGUUUGUCCACCUGAGUAUUUUCAUAGUAUCUCUCUAUGUAUUCGGGAUGGAGCGCAAGGUCUUUCCGUGGGAGAAGGUCCAGAAGCACCACGAUCGAAGUUGGGCUACCUUGUAUAAAUUCCAUGAGGAAAUGUGGAGCAUCUGUCGAGGCGUUCAGAAAGAUGAGAAGAGAUGUAAUGUCGAUUGCGCCAUUUGGGACUUUGCAGUGUAGUGAGGACUGGAGCAUGAAAUCAAUCUGUAGACAAGAAAAAUAAUAAUUCAACCCCACUUGUCAUUCCUUGCAGAACUCAAGAAAUUAUUAUACUGUGCUAAGCAUUAGGCAGCUUGAUUCAGGUGUUCAAGUGGUGAGAUUAAUAACAUUGUUUGAAUGCCAUUGAUCAUUUUGGCCACUCCAAUUGUAUCUGUUCAAUUGGUGAGAUACCUUUUCUUUGGAGAGUAAAAAGAAAUCUUUGAGUGGUAGGAAAAGAUCACGAAUGAGGCACAAACGCUUGAGCAGACCAAUUGUUGCCAUUUCAAUCUUGGAUGUUUCGCAGCACUAAUAAAUCAACUAAUUUGAGCAUUACUAAUCUAACAAACAAUCAUAAUUUGCUCCAAAGAGUUGGAUUGUGGAUCUUGGCUUCUCAAAGCUUGCAAGUUCACCUUGAUAGGGCAAUCACGAAUAGUUCGGCAGCAAAUUUUCAGUGUAAAACAGUUUCAGUAAACUGUACUGAAACAGUUUCAGUGUAAUUUACUGCAUUUCGUCAUAGGAUUGCUCUACUCUACCUGCCUGUCACUACAAUUUCACUAUUUCAUAUGACUAAUUGUGCUCUAGAAAUUACUGCAGUAGAAAUAAUCUCCAAUUAACAGAACAGUAAAUUUUAAUUAGCAGCUUAUACUUCGUGGGGAGAGAAGCUAAGCCAAUCGCGCAGGCACAAGCUAAAAUCUGUAUGAUCUGACGAACAAAUGUGAGAGAGGAAGGGGGUGCCAUUACCGUCGAUCCCGGCGCGCCGCGGCGCACGUCGAGCGAGCCCACGGCGUUCCCGGCGCCGCCGCCGCCGCUGCGGAACUUGGCGACGUCGGGCGGCACGGCGGAGGGGAGCAGCCGCGCGCCCAGCCGCGCCUCCGCCCGGGACGCGAGCUCCCGAGCCACCUCCCGGUGCGCCACCGCCACCUCCACCUCCAAUGGCGCCGUCGCGCCCGGCACCGACGACGCGGACGCGGGCGCGCACGCGCGCACGGCGCCCCUGAGCUGGGGAGGCGCCGCGCGGGGGAGCCGGAACGCGCCGCGGUGGCGGAGGGGCGGGUAGGAGAUGGUGGAGUGGGCCGGGGAGGUCGCCGGCGGCGAGCGGAGGUGGUGCUCUGGGCGGAGCAUGAACGACGCGAGGUGAGAGGGGAGUGAGAUUUUCCUCUUUUUUUUUCUUAUAGAAAAAUGACUCUGUGUUACAAAAUCCAUCGAAAGGACAUUUCUACUGCAAAAAGAAAUCUCGAGACGGUGAAAAUAUGAGAUAAUUGGCCUGUUUCGGCUUCUUUUUGCUGCGGCAUGCAGCCACAGCAACGCCAACAACUGAACAUUCAUAAUUGAACUUUUACGAGCAGUUCAAAUUAAGGCACUCUGUGAUUAGGUUUAUAUGCUAGUUUUUGAAAAAAAAUUAAGCCUAAAAGACAACAUUUUUUAUUUGGUUUUCUUUAAAGCUAUAAGCAUUUUUACAUUGCUAUAUAUGACUCCAAAAUUACCGUUUAUAAAACAACUAAGCUGAAAAAUUAAAUUAAAACUAUAAGCUUUUAAACUAUCUGAGUGAGUGUAGCUCAACUAGUUUGUAUUUUUUUUAACCAACUCACCUAAAAUCAAAAUCUAGAUUUGACACCGUUACGGCUAAUUGAUCUUCCAAUGAGAUAUGUUGACACAGUUUUUCAAAGGUGUUCAUAGGGGUAGGGUAUGUGUGUAUGGGUUCAUAGUACUACCUCUGUCCCAUUAUAAGUGCAGUCGUGAUUUUCCGUGAUCGUCCAUCUUAUUUAAAUUUUUUAAAAAAGUUUAAAAACAUAAGUCACGCAUAAAGUACUAUUCAUGUUUUAUCAUCUAAUAACGAUAAAAAUACUAAUCGUAAAAAAUUUUCAAAUAAGAUAAAUGAUUAAAGUUGGGUACAAAACUCAUGACUGGUGACUGCACUUAUAAUAGGACAGAGGGAGCAUGUGUUAUGAGCAUAUAUGUUUAUACUUUUUUUUGAAAAGCAUAUAAAGAGCACCUAAUCCCAGUGUUAAAUUCACGUACCAGGGACAACAAAAAGCUGCCUGAGGAUGAGAUAGGAGGAAAACGAUAGCUGAUAGGGAUCGUGUGAUGGGGGCGUGAGCAGAUCUGUGCCGUCCGUUCCGCCGCCCGGCGCAUCUCAGCCGUCCACGUGCUCGUCUAGCUGCCGGUCCAUGUAUGGGGCGUAUGGCUUUUUCUUCUUCCUCAUUCUUUUUUUGAGCUUUGAGUGUCCUCAUCUCAUCUCAUCACAUCAGCUCUCGCCUUCAGUUCCUCCCCGCCGCAUCUCCCAUCUCGUAUUUCCCAUCCUCCCUUCGCGCGUCUGGGUGAGGAUUCGGGCUUGUACUUCUUGUUAAUCCCUAGUCCUUCAGUCCUUCUCCCAUCAGGUGUCGAUUUGGUCUAUUGGUUUUUCUUUUUUACUUUGCUUAAUUCUCGUUUUUUUUUUUAAAAAAAAGGGUUGUUCUGUUGGAUCUCCAGCUGGAGCCAAGGAUACAUACUAGUAGUAAUUUCUGUUGGUUUGUUUUAGUGAUUUAUCUUGGUUUUUUUAGAUCUGGUAUACAUCUCCCGUGGUUCGAUUGGGCUGGGUAUUUGUUCUUUGAAGAUUGGUGUUUUCAGUUUUUCUUGCGUGCUAGUGAUGAUUAAAGAAGUUAAAAAUGGUGAAUCCUGGAUUAAUGUGCUCGCGUGCCGCUGUGUGCGCGCGCGGCUGGAGAUUUUUUUUUUCUCUCUGUUCUUCUGUGAGUUCUUCUAUGGAAAAUAUAUUUUUUUUCUUCUAACCUCUCCUUAAUUUGACUCGUGUGCGUAGUUACUUGCAGGUUGUCAGAAUUACUAGGUUUUGAAAUUACGACUGGUACUCCAGGCUGGUAGAGCGGCAAGGUAUGAAAAUGUAUAAAUUCAUCAUUGCUGGGCUGCGGCUCUAUAUUAAAGAGAGAUGGGGGAUUGCAGGUUUUGCCCCUCCCCCCCCCACCCCACCCCCCCACAAUAGAUGGAAUUCAGCUCUAUGCCUAGUUCGUUUAAUCCCUCCCACAAGGGGAUUGAGGGAGAUUUGGAGGGGAUUUAUUCCACACCUAUUGUUAUUGUGGUGUGGAAUUAUUCCCCCUCAAUCCCCUCCAUUCAUUCUCUCUUGGGUUUAAACGAACAAGGCUAGCAAAUCCGGAUUUUUGUCAGAAUUUUGCCUUAAAGGAAUGGUAGAUCCUGAUUUUUUUUCCAGAAUCUUGCUGGAGCAAUAGACAAUUCUGUUUGUUUGAUUGAUCUGUCUACCACAUCUACCGUGGUCCAAUUGCUUCUUAAUAUGAUUUGUGAAGACUCGUGUUUCAAUUUUCAAGGCCGAUUGAUUCUUUUAUUUGAUUUCUGAAGACUUCCAUUUCGAUUCUGUCGUGCUGGUGAUGAUUAAAGAGCUAGCAAUGGUGAAUUCGAUGAAUUUGUUCGCGUGCUGCUGGGUGCGCAGCAGUGGUGAUAUGCAUCCUUACGCAGUUCAUAUGAGGCACGCAUAAAUCGAAAUCGAUUAAAAGGCCGGAAUGUUAUUCCAUUAUCUAAAAAAAAACAAUUGCUUCUUAAUAUGAUUUGUGAAGACUUGUGUUUCAAUUUUCAAGGCCGAUUGAUUCUUUAAUUUGAUUUCUGAAGACUUCCAUUUCGAUUCUGUCGUGCUGGUGAUGAUUAAAGAGCUAGCAAUGGUGAAUUCGAUGAAUUUGUUCGCGUGCCGCUGGGUGCGCAGCAGUGGUGAUAUGCAUUCUUACGCAGUUCAUCUGAGGCACGCAUAAAUCGAAAUCGAUUCAAAGGCUGGAAUGUUAUUCCAUUAUUAAAAAAAAUCGAAAUCGAUUUUUUUCCUCAUGUGCUUGUGUUUCUUCUUUCCUGCUGCCUUCGAUACAACUCCAAAAUUGCUGUUUUAUUGAUUUUGAAAAGGCUUAUGAUAGAGUUCAAUGGGAUUUCCUGUAUGAGGUGUUGCAGAAGAAAAACUUUGACCAGCGGGUUAUAAGUUGGAUUAAAAAGAUCAGUGAGGGGGGUAAGAUGAGCAUAAAUAUAAAUGGGGCAGAUGGGCAUAAAUAUAAAUGGGGCAGAUGGGCCCUUUUUUUAAAACUUUCAGGGGGUUGAGACAGGGUGACCCUUUGUCACCUAUUUUGUUUAACCUGGUGGGGGAUGCUCUGUCAGCUAUUUUAGAAGAAGCUGCCAGAAAUGGGGUCUUAAGAGGGUUUAGUUCCAGGUUUGGUAGAGGGGGGUUUAACUCACCUUCAAUAUGCUGAUGACACCAUUCUUUUUACUAAGGCUACCAGAGAAAAUAUUUAGCUCUCAAGUUUCUUCUGUUUUGUUUUGAGAUAUCUGGAAUGAAAAUCAAUUAUCAAAAAAGUGGCGUUUAUGUUUUGGGGGUGACAAAAGAAGUGGAGGAAGAGAUAGCUAAUAUGCUAAAUUGCAAGGUUGGAAGGAUGCGGGGGGGAUAUGAGUUGUACUGUUCUUAGGAAGAAAUAUCUGGGUCACAAGGGUUUCUUUCAAGAGCAAUUUUACAGUCCUUGAAGAGUACCACGUUUUCUACUAUAAAUUUGGUAUCUCUUGAUACCUACGUACUAUGAGGUACCAAAUUUUACACUAAAUUUUUGGUACCUCCUCAAGGAUUGUAGAAUUUCUCUCCUUUCAAAGUUCUGCUGUUGGGGGGGUCUCAGUUUUGGAAAGGUUUACAUGAUUGUGGUGCAGUUCUGGAAAGGUUGAUUGAGAAAAAGGUGGAGGGGGUAAUCAAACCCUUUUCUGGGAGGAUGUGUGGCUGAACAAAGUGUCUUUAAAAACCUGCUUGGCUGCUUCCCAUCUCUGUAUUCAGCAAGUUAUCAACACAAGGCACUGUGAAUGAGUUGUGGGAUGGGGGGGAUUGGGAUUUACAUUUCAGAAGGAACUUGAACAGUCAAGAUAGACUAGAGUUGGAUAAACUGCAGAGGGAGCUGGAGGGGGUUACUCUAAAUGGAGAGAGAGACAUGGUGAUUUGGCCUCAUGACAAAAAGAAAAUUUUCUCCACAAGAUCUAUGUAUAGGGUGCUAAAAUUUGGAGGGGUGGUAGAUCAAGAAAUCCAAGGGGUGUGGAGGUGCAAGAUACCUCUAAAAAUCAUGCAUUUCCUCUAUAUGACAGGGAGAAACAGGAUUCCAUGUACAGAGCAAGCUUUGUCUAGGGGAAGAAAGCACUACACAUGUUUUAUUUACUUGUCCCAUUGCUAAAUUUGCUUGGAGUGUAAUUGCUAUAGUUCUAAAUUUGCAUAAUGUACCUAUCUCUUUCUGGGAUUGUAUCAAGGUUGUAACCAAGAAAAUGGGGUUUCAGGGGGGAAUGGUGGUUUUUGCAGGAAUGACCUGGGGUUUGUGGAUUACCAGAAAUAAUUGGGUUUUUAACAAUAAACUGAUCAAAUCACCUUUGCAGGUCGUGUACAGGUCUUUGUCUUUGAUGCAAAGGUGGAAGGUGCUGCUAAAAGAAAAGGAGUGUACUAGCUUGGAUGUCUUUCAAGCAAAGAUAAUGCUGACGUUGGAAGUGCUGAAGCCGACUGAUAAUCUUCCUGAUGAUAUAGGAUAGUUCAUGGGAAUGGGCUCUGAAAAUAUUUGGUCUUUUGUUGUGGGUGUUAAAAUGUCUGGAAGGGGGCUAGGUUUAGUGGAUGUCCAAGCUUUUGUUGAGCUGGUUUGGAAAACUGGAAUCCCCAGUUUUUUGUUUCCUUUUGUUUCGUUUUUCUGUAAGAACUCUGUUUCGUUUGGGCUUUUUCUAAAGCCGGGUAAUAUAUGCCUGUUGUCAAAAAAAAGAUGCUGUUUUCUGUUUACAUUUUUUCCUUUUGGCUUUGCCGUUCGAACUCUCCAUUCUUGAUACAAUAAUUGUGUAUUUCAACCGAAAAGAGAAGGCAAAAACAACUCUCCAAAAAACUUGGAGUUUAUGUUUUGUGCCAUGUGUGCUUCUAGAGCUGCGAGUAGCUGUAGGGAGCCAGGAUUAGUAUGGCUGGUAGUUAGUGAAUUUCUGAUUGAUAGCAUUUCAAUUUUGUCAUAAACUGGUGCGUUGAUCUAUGAAAUUAGGCAGUUAGAUUCAUCGCAAAUUUUUAAUGGGAUGAGAAUAUGUAAACACGGUAUGUAAAGUUAUCCAUUAACUAGUAAUACAUUUGUAAAAUAAAAUAAUUGACUGUCCUUUCUCUUUAAGAAAUUGAGGAAACCACCCGUGAAAUCAGUUUACUGGUACUUAUAAAUUAUAUUAUCUUUUUGGGCACUUUCUUUUAAUGAGGGCAUCGAUGUAUCUCUAGAGGAGGCCGAGAUUUGGGUUGAAACGGCUAGAGUAAAAAAUCGGCAUGAAAACCAACACUACAUUGGUUUGUAUAAUUGUAUAGACAAAAUUAUGACAUCUGAUGGUAUUUGCAAUUAUAAAUUUAUAAUCACACAAUAUAUCUGAUUGUUCAAGCAAAAGGGACAAAAGACUACUAACAUUACUUUCGAAUGAUGUACAGAUGAAUUCCUGGUCACAGUUCUAAAGCUAGGCCUCUUGUACCCCAAAGGCCUUCUGGAUUUCAGCUAUGACUCGGUCUGCGACAUCGGGACCAAACAUCCUCGGCAAAUUUGAAGUCAGGUCGACCUCGAUUGACUUGGACCUUACAAUUUGGUCCCUCUUUAUCAUGUUUUCUCUCUCGCCUUCUUCCAUCUCUGAAGUAUGAUCAGCACAACUAUCAAGCCAAAUUUGAAGAAGUGCCCUAGCAGCUGUUGCUAGUUGACCACGCACUAUCUCUUCCAAGGUACCCUCUCCUCCUUGCCCACAGUCGAUGCUCAUCAGUAUUGCUGUCAGUGAGAAGGUGCUGCGCACGAAGAGGGAUCGCGAUCGGUAUGGACGGGCCUGCGGCAAUUCUUCGACCUUCUCACGCUGUUUGUCCACCUGAGUAUUCUCAUAGU
Molecule: long non-coding RNA, 7601 nt
Filed under: Oryza sativa (Asian cultivated rice)
Lineage: Eukaryota; Viridiplantae; Streptophyta; Magnoliopsida; Poales; Poaceae
Description: long non-coding RNA (OSAT_LNC001840)
Rfam family: Small nucleolar RNA Z188 (bases 4360-4474)
Source: RNAcentral